Molecule: ribosomal RNA, 495 nt
Filed under: uncultured bacterium
Lineage: Bacteria
Description: partial 16S ribosomal RNA
Rfam family: Bacterial small subunit ribosomal RNA
Source: RNAcentral
GACGAACGCUGGCGGCGUGCCUAAUACAUGCAAGUAGAACGCUGAAGGAGGAGCUUGCUCUUCUGGAUGAGUUGCGAACGGGUGAGUAACGCGUAGGUAACCUGCCUGGUAGCGGGGGUUAACUAUUGGAAACGAUAGCUAAUACCGCAUAACAGUAGAUGUUGCAUGACAUUUACUUAAAAGAUGCAAUUGCAUCACUACCAGAUGGACCUGCGUUGUAUUAGCUAGUUGGUGGGGUAACGGCUCACCAAGGCGACGAUACAUAGCCGACCUGAGAGGGGGAUCGGCCACACUGGGACUGAGACACGGCCCAGACUCCUACGGGAGGCAGCAGUAGGGAAUCUUCGGCAAUGGACGGAAGUCUGACCGAGCAACGCCGCGUGAGUGAAGAAGGUUUUCGGAUCGUAAAGCUCUGUUGUAAGAGAAGAACGAGUGUGAGAGUGGAAAGUUCACACUGUGACGGUAUCUUACCAGAAAGGGACGGCUAACUACGUG